UACGAAGGGGGCUAGCGUUGUUCGGAAUCACUGGGCGUAAAGAGCGCGCAGGCGGUCGCUCAAGUCGCGUGUGAAAGCCCCCGGCUCAACUGGGGAGGGUCACGCGAUACUGAUCGACUCGAAGGCAGGAGAGGGUAGUGGAAUUCCCGGUGUAGCAGUGAAAUGCGUAGAUAUCGGGAGGAACAUCUGUGGCGAAGGCGACACCCUGGACCAGCACUGACACUGAGGCACGAAAGCGUGGGGAGCAAACAGG
RNAcentral lists this ribosomal RNA (253 nucleotides) under uncultured bacterium. RNAcentral describes it as "partial 16S ribosomal RNA". It matches the Rfam family "Bacterial small subunit ribosomal RNA", at positions 524 to 776 of the family's 1533-position model. The record is from RNAcentral.